UCUCCGUUGGUGAACCAGCGGAGGGAUCAUUACCGAGUUUACAACUCCCAAACCCCUAUGUGAACGUUACCAAACUGUUACCUCGGCGGGAAAUUCAUGCCCCGGGCGCGUCGCAGCCCCGGACCAAGGCGCCCGCCGGAGGACCAACCAAAACUCUUUUGUAUGUCCCUCGCGGACUUUUAUAAUUCUGGACCAUCUCGGCGCCCCUAGCGGGCGUUUCGAAAAUGAAUCAAAACUUUCAACAACGGAUCUCUUGGUUCUG
This 262-nucleotide unclassified non-coding RNA is filed under the name plant metagenome. Its description in RNAcentral is "partial contains small subunit ribosomal RNA, internal transcribed spacer 1, and 5.8S ribosomal RNA". The record is from RNAcentral.